GAGGGCUCAGUUUUGCCUUUUAUCUUGAAGCCCAACACUCACGUCUCUUGCUGCAUAACCUACCCAUCGCGAUGUAAUUGAACUGCCCUGGUUAUCACUCAUCAGAAUGACCAUCCGAGGCGCAGAACAUCCAACAUUAGCCAUGAAUUGAAUAGGCUGCAAGAGAAGUAAGGGUGAGAGCUCUUAAGGGCAUCUCCAACGCCGGCACCCAUUUGGGGCCUAUUUAGUACCCACAUGCCACGGCUGUCUUGAUUGCUCAACACAUAAUUAUUUCAGCCGCAGGCAUCAUCAUCGCCCUUUUUUUUUAAAAAAAAAAAGGUCAAACCCCCCAAGCAACAUGACCAUAACAUCCAUCAUCCAUCCAUCCAUUCAUCCAUCAGACUAGCCAUAGUGGUGAGUAACUUAGACAAUCUCAGGAGCUGCUCAUACCUGGCCUUGACCGACCAAACCUCCUGGUGUGGACGACACAUCAGACAACGCCUUACGGUUCCCAGCCACGCCACAACCAAAUCCAAGGCAAUGGACUGGCGGCGGCUGGCAGCACCGUAGAGACCGGGAACUGACAUGGCAGCUACCCGGACGAUGGGUCAGCGAGUCGGCAAUGAAAGCUUGACUGAUUUGUUUAAGGGAGAGA
RNAcentral lists this ribosomal RNA (634 nucleotides) under Triticum aestivum (bread wheat). RNAcentral describes it as "partial small subunit ribosomal RNA". The record is from RNAcentral. Lineage: Eukaryota; Viridiplantae; Streptophyta; Magnoliopsida; Poales; Poaceae.